RNAcentral lists this ribosomal RNA (253 nucleotides) under uncultured bacterium. Its description in RNAcentral is "partial 16S ribosomal RNA". It matches the Rfam family "Bacterial small subunit ribosomal RNA", at positions 524 to 776 of the family's 1533-position model. The record is from RNAcentral.
UACGUAGGCAGCGAGCGUUGUUCGGAGUUACUGGGCGUAAAGGGUGUGUAGGCGGUUGUUUAAGUUUGGUGUGAAAUCUCCCGGCUCAACUGGGAGGGUGCGCCGAAUACUGAAUGACUCGAGUGCGGGAGAGGAAAGUGGAAUUCCUGGUGUAGCGGUGAAAUGCGUAGAUAUCCGGAGGAACACCAGUGGCGAAAGCGGCCACCUGGACUGCACCUGACGCUGACACGCGAAAGCUAGGGGAGCGAACGGG